CCUACGGGGGGCUGCAGUGGGGAAUAUUGCACAAUGGGCGCAAGCCUGAUGCAGCCGUGCCGCGUGUGUGAAGAAGGCCUUCGGGUUGUAAAGCACUUUCAGCGGGGAGGAAGGCGGUGAGGUUAAUAACCUCAUCGAUUGACGUUACCCGCAGAAGAAGCACCGGCUAACUCCGUGCCAGCAGCCGCGGUAAUACGGAGGGUGCAAGCGUUAAUCGGAAUUACUGGGCGUAAAGCGCACGCAGGCGGUCUGUCAAGUCGGAUGUGAAAUCCCCGGGCUCAACCUGGGAACUGCAUUCGAAACUGGCAGGCUAGAGUCUUGUAGAGGGGGGUAGAAUUCCAGGUGUAGCGGUGAAAUGCGUAGAGAUCUGGAGGAAUACCGGUGGCGAAGGCGGCCCCCUGGACAAAGACUGACGCUCAGGUGCGAAAGCGUGGGAGCAAACAGGAUUAGAUACCCCGGUAGUC
This 464-nucleotide ribosomal RNA is filed under the name uncultured Klebsiella sp. RNAcentral's name for it is "bacterial SSU rRNA". It matches the Rfam family "Bacterial small subunit ribosomal RNA", at positions 338 to 795 of the family's 1533-position model. The record is from RNAcentral. Lineage: Bacteria; Pseudomonadati; Pseudomonadota; Gammaproteobacteria; Enterobacterales; Enterobacteriaceae.